Molecule: RNA transcript, 3954 nt
Organism: Bombyx mori (domestic silkworm)
Lineage: Eukaryota; Metazoa; Arthropoda; Insecta; Lepidoptera; Bombycidae
Gene: Tak1
Gene name: mitogen-activated protein kinase kinase kinase 7
Exons: 8
Source: RefSeq, a predicted model, not a curated record
GACAUUUGUUCUACAGUUUCAAAGAUGGCGGCCUUGUCGCAGUUGCUUUUUUCUGCCAAACAAUACUGAAGAAAUUGAGUUAACCAACUAUUUUUACCAAUUUAUAAAGAAAACUUAUUAGUUUGUAACACAUAAGGCUUGUAUAAUCUUUCUAGUCAUAUUGAUAAUGUGAUAAUAAGUGUACCAAUGGCUUCCAAUAGUUCCAAUGUGCAAGACUCGCCAGUUCAUCAGCAGACGUUUGUGGAGGAGAUUGAUUACAGUGAAAUACAGGAGCUUUCGGUCGUAGGGAAAGGGGCCUUCGGUGUUGUCUGGAAGGGUGUAUGGCGGAACAGAUUUGUAGCGGUAAAGCACAUAAAUUCAGAGGCGGAGAAACGUGAAUUUGCGAUCGAGGUACGCCAGUUAUCUCGCGUAUGUCACCCAAACAUUGUGCGAUUGUACGGAGCGUGCACGCGGGGUGCUCACGUAUGCCUCGUCAUGGAGUAUGCAGAAGGUGGCUCUCUCUAUAAUGUACUACACAACCGACCCAAACCCAAAUACACAGCAGCACAUGCAAUGAGCUGGGCCCGCCAGUGCGCUGAGGGUGUAGCAUACCUUCACUCCAUGAAACCAAAACCAUUAAUACACAGGGAUUUAAAACCACCCAAUCUAUUAUUAGUGGGUGGAGGGCAACGCCUGAAGAUUUGUGAUUUUGGCACAGCAGCUGAUAAGGCAACAUACAUGACGAAUAAUAAAGGCAGUGCUGCUUGGAUGGCUCCUGAGGUAUUUGAAGGAUCAACAUACACAGAAAAAUGUGAUGUGUUCUCAUGGGGGAUAAUACUGUGGGAGGUAUUAUCUAGGAGGAAACCAUUUGAAGAAGGUGGUUCUGCAUAUAGAAUAAUGUGGGCGGUGCAUACAGGUCAAAGACCAAAUCUAAUAGAGGGAUGCCCGGAGCCAAUAGAGCAGCUGAUGACACAAUGUUGGCACAAAAUACCAGCACAAAGACCAAGCAUGGCCAAGGUAACGGAAAUAAUGUCAGCACUAUGCGAGUUCUUUCCGGGUGCUGACACGCCGAUAAACUACGACGACUGCGAGGUGGACGACUCAGAGUGUUCGGAGGAUGAGUGUGGCUCUCGAGACAGCCUCGACACUGACACAGAACACGAUAUACUGUCUCAAGUACACAUCCCCACUCAGUACCCCGACCAUAGCACCUCCGACCCCGUACUCAGGAACAUCGACACCCCGUUACAGCCGUCCAGACCGCGCAGCUACGUCGAGACGCAAGUGAGUAAGCUACAGAACAUAAUGGCCGCUGAGGCGCACCCCAAAACGACGGCACUAUCGAAGGACGAGUCCGACGCCCAUAACAGGGUCGGUGCCAUUAGGAUUCCUCAACACUUUAAAAAGUCUGAAGAUUUUCUGGAAGCCGGAAGAUCGCCGAUCAGCAUCAACAGGACAUCGAGCUCGCCCGUGCCUUCAGAGAGGACCUACGUGCCAAGCGAGGGCAGCACACCCCAGGACUCGUUGCGAGUCAUCAAAAGUCCUGUCGUCUUCAGCGAGAGUUCAUCUCCGCGGAGACUCUCGCCCAUCCCCAAUUACAACAUCGGAAACAUUAAUCCGCGACAUAUAGAUACGGAUCCUUAUUGGAAGAGGGAGGUUGAUAAACUGUCUCCGACCCGAAGUCCUUCGGUCAUGAGUAACUCGAGCUUGCUCAGAAAGGAAGAUUGCAACCAGAAUUAUUAUGACAGAUUGAGCGCCACCAACAGUCCAAUGACACCAGUGAGAGAAUACAAUGGGAACGUAACGCAGAGACCGAUCAAUUCGAGCAUACAAACGCCAUUACAUAUAGACGUGGAUCCUAACACGUGGGAAAUCAUCAAUGCGCCUAUACAUUUUGAUGAUUAUGUUGAAGUGAGGAAUCAUCCUGGUUUCGACAAAUACUACAUCGGCGGUGAGUACGAUCAAAAUAUCCUAGCAACUAAACACAAAAAAUUAAAAAAAAAAUAUUACCGUCUCUGAACUUAUUCUGGUUUGUUUGCGUGCUUAAACAGAUUUAAUAAAAAUAAAAAUAAUUGUAAAUUGUAUAUAAAAUUUUGUAUUUAUAUAAAUGAAAACGUUACGUAUCUUAGACCUUUCUGUGGUGUUUCACAAUACAUCUGUGCUUAAUACAAAAAUAAUAUAUCGAAGACAGUGAAUCACUAGCACCGCGGUAUAAAUAGGUAUGCACGUACAACGUAAUGUGCUCCUCUUAAAUGUUCAGAUCAUGAAUACACUCGAAUAAUGUAUGAGCUCUAAAAUUAUGUUUUGACUAACAAGUCUCAUACAAGAGAAAACUUUUUUUUUUUUGCAAUGUCAUUGACAUAACUCUUUUCUUGUAGCAGCCGAGAUAUACGACCCACGUAACGUGCACAUUAUAUUAUUAAAUAGACUUUGCGAAUUACGGCCGACAACGGUUUGCUUGCGUGCGUGCUGACUUAUCAAGUAAAAAUAACGAGUCGACACAUUAAUUUGUUGAAAACGAACAUUUUUACUUGACCUAAAAGUUUUUCUAAAGUUCAUCUAAAAUUUUGAAAUGUCAUUACUAAACUGAAGGUUUUGAGAUUCUCGGUUUCGUAGCCUCGUUUUAUUUAAUGGAGACUUGUGGUAUAAAGAUCAGUUGUUAAUUAAUUGGAAUCUUGAUACCUUAAAUUUUUAGUUCAAGGAAUAAAACUAAUAUUUCUAGCGAGUAACGCAUGACGUCACUCGUGGCUAAUCUACCACCCGAGCGCGUAAACUUAUGAUGUUUUUUUAAUGUUAAAUUUAAUAUGUUAAAUUCAGGACGCUAAUAAUUAAAAGGCAGCUAAAAAUUCUCAGUGUCCUGUUUUGACUGAUCUUUACGGUUAACAAUUCGUCAUAGACAAUUUAUUUAAUAUAUAGGUCAAUUCUUACACAGACAACUUUUCACACGGGCAACGAUUAACAAAUAAGUUCGAUGCGGUUGGUUCUAAAAAUCUCAUUUAUAAACAAUCAUGCAAUAGUCGGCAUUAAAAAGUAAAUAAAUAUCGAAAAAAGUCUCCACAUAAAAAUCAUUGCUACUAUGAAUUUACCCAGAGCAUCUCUGUCAUUAAAAUACAGGUAUAAGAUAACCAAGGUUAAAUAAACAGAAGGUUCAUGUAUUUCCCUACAAAAACAAGACACGCAGUACUGUUUACUGAUCUGAUCUGUCGUCUAAACCAGUCAGAAUGUAUCAUUGCAUCGCAUGAGUAAUAGCAUCGAAAUAGCUUAGUCCUUUCGCCAGGACAUUGCAUCUGGUCUGAGUCACGUGCGUCAUAGUUUAUUCAUCUUGUACGAUCAAACGAUAAUGUCGUUUUAUUAAUAUUUCAAAUUUAAAUUAGGAAUAGAACGAAAUUUGUUCAAUUUAAAAUCGUUUUCAAAUGAGUGAAAACGUAUUUCCAUUUCUUGUUAUAUUUAUGUAUUAGCAAGAAUGUUAUUAGUGAUUUUUUUGUAUUUUGAUUGUGAAAAAACUAUCUGAAAUGGAAAAUUUAUUUUGUGUCAAAUUGACAUUUAAGUUCAGUGGCUGAAUUUUUGUUGAAGUGUUGUUUUGUGUAACAUCCAAAUACUAGGUCUUUGGUCUGGAUAGUAAUCACUUAAAUAUAUAUGGUUAAUUCAUGUUUGGUUCUGAAAAUACUUGUUUUUUUCUGUGUCUCAAUCUCAGUAGCCACAACACGGCACAAAGAAUCCGCCUUGGAUGAAAUGUGUAAAAUUAUUUAUGUAUUUCUAUCAUAAUUAUUUGUCAGCAAAAAUUCCUCAGCAAAACCUCAUAAUAGCUAAAGUAAUUUAAAAUAUGGAUGUGACGAAAAUUUUACAGGUAACAGCAGUAGCUCAACAGGUGGCGAGGGCGGCGCCCCGGCCUCCGAGCCAGACCCCGCGCUCGAUUCAAUGCACAUGAUGCUCGACCCGCACCUGCGGCCCAUCUCGCCCGAUCUCUCAAACGAA